UGAGUACUUGAAUUAAAUCCUCCCGGAUUAUAUAUGUCUCUUUCAAUUUUUGAUUUCUCUUUAUGGGAUUCCUAACACAUUUUUUUUUAAAAUUGAAAAUGCUCCAUUAAGAAAGGAAACAUCAUGGGAACAACCUCUCCCAUGUGAGGCAAAACCCAGCACUGUUUAACAUGUUAAAGCUAACACUAGACCUUAACAUACCCAAGAUACACGACCCUUAGCCGUAGAGCAACAACACAAAAAGGAAAAAGACAAACAAACAAGAAGAUAAAUGUCCCAUUCUACAAUUGCAUAGGGCACGAUUAUUGCCUGCUUCUAACUCCAACUCCUGCAGCCUACAAGUCUGGAAAUCGUUCAGGAAAAAAACUUUAUUAGCUUGGAAGCACCCUUUCCUGAUCACGCAGACCUGCCUCAUCAAUCAAAUCUGUUACACAAACCCGCAGUGGAGAAUCUUUAUUGCAACCUUUGUUGGCCAAGAAAUCUGCUUCCACAUUACUCUCUCUAUAGAUGUGCCUUACUUCAACACAAUUUACCUCAUGUGUCAGGAAUUUGAUGUGAUUCAAUUCAUUAACAAGCCUCGAAGGUCUUUUCUCACUAGACCCUAUCUAACCCACCGUGACAGUCGAGCCGCUUUCAAUUAUGAUGUUUAUGAAGAGAAAUUCCUAACACAUUUUCCUAUAGUCAAUGCAUAUUUGAUUCAAGAAUUUUUCUGGCAGUGUGUUAGCAAAGCUCUUAAGACUUAAUGUACUAACCUUAUAGAAUGCUCAACUACUUCUCCAACAAAAUUGUCAAUCCAUAGGCACAAAACCCAUUAUGUGAUUGAGACUACAAAAACUUGUGAAUGGGGAAAUUCUGCUAUUUUACCUUCUUUUUUGGAAAGUUUAAACUUAAUACUACAUAUCUUCCAAUUAAGAAAAAUAAGUUAUUGACCGCUGCUAAUUACAUCUUGAUAGAUUUGCAAUUUUUAUGGUUAGUGGUCGUUAAAAGUUGUCAUUUAUGUUGGAGGGAUAUCUUUCAUAUUUUUUCAAGAUCUACCAUACAAUAUAUGGGGCCAAAAGACAAAAUAUAUGAUUUUAGCCCCAUAAGUUAUAAAAAAAUUAUUCUGAUAACUUGUAAAUUUGCAAAUUCUUCACACGAGACAUAAUAUUAUAACAUAUAUCAAAUUCAAUAUGCCAUAGAAGAAUUCUUUGGUCAAUUUCUCCUAAGCUCUUCCACUUUGUCACCCAUAUGACCACAAUACAUCAACAAAAUGGUAAGAAUAAUGUAAUGGAAUUUUCAUAGUGAAAUUACUUGUAAUAGAUUCCUUGAAAGCAUUCUCAAAACUGUUACCAUGAUUUUUUUAAGACACUAUAUCAGUGAAAUACACCACAUUUUCAGUUGAUACAAUGUGUUAUCAUCAUGAUCAACGUCUAUGCCAAAUAUAAAUUUAUAAGGAAUGGAUAGAGGAGACUUGUAGGGAAUAAGAUCAAAAAUCAUAUAAUAGAACAUACCCUUCAUCCUUGAAUGUAUGGUUGAAGAAAGUAAAUUAAAAUCCAUGAUAAGAUCGCCAUCUCUGCCUCGAAUGUCACCAUGAAUUUUGCUUUCUUCAACUACAUCUCAAAGGACGGAGAGUAUAUUUUGUUAUAUGAUUGUGAUUCUCUUCCGUACAAUACUCCUUUGAAUUCAAUACCUUUUAUAAAUUUUAUAUGUGACAGAGAUGGUGAUCUUCAUGAUAGUCACUUCGUAUCAACUACAAAUGUGGUGAAUUUUAUUGAAAAGGGGUGUGAAAAUAACAUCGUGGUUCCAGCUUUGAGUAAUGCUUUCAAAGAAUGUAGUUCAAUUUCCUUGUUCCUCACCCCCAAUUAAAUAUAUAGACCAUGUGAUAUUUUUUUG
This 1872-nucleotide long non-coding RNA is filed under the name Lotus japonicus. RNAcentral's name for it is "long non-coding RNA (LJAP_LNC001979)". The record is from RNAcentral. Lineage: Eukaryota; Viridiplantae; Streptophyta; Magnoliopsida; Fabales; Fabaceae.